Long non-coding RNA from Daphnia magna, 338 nucleotides. RefSeq lists it as uncharacterized. The record is from RefSeq and is a predicted model, not a curated record. The transcript has 3 exons. NCBI's taxonomy places the organism in Eukaryota, Metazoa, Arthropoda, Branchiopoda, Diplostraca, Daphniidae.
GAUUAUCUCCUCUCGUUUGACUGUUUGAUUUUGAGACUUGUUUGAGUCACGUGGCCAUUCUUUAUGUGCUUUUCUGCAAGAAACAUAAAAAUCAGAUAUAGAUAACGACAACGAGCACUGAAUAGAAAGAUAUGGAUGAGGAGUCUGAAGGUGAGAGUGGGUCCGAGGAUGAGAGUGAUUUAGGUUCAACCAACACCAACAGUGAUGUUCGCCUUCCUCUAAAAGUUGCAAGGGUUCAAGAUGAUUCUCAAAGCUGCGAAGAAGUUUCACAGCACAAAUCUCCCUCAAAAAAGGUGAAGAUGGGUUCACAUUCUUUUAACGAUGAGUUAUUUUAUUCA